CAACCCUCAAGCCCCCUGUGGACUUGGUGUUGGGGACCGGCGACAAUCACCUGUCGCCGCCCCCUAAAUGAAUUGGCGGCCCCGUCCCGGCCCUCCUCUGCGUAGUAGCAUACACCUCGCAACAGGAGCCCGUCGGUGGCCACUGCCGUAAAACACCCCAAACUUUUUUAG
This 171-nucleotide unclassified non-coding RNA is filed under the name uncultured Clavicipitaceae. RNAcentral's name for it is "sequence contains ITS2". Lineage: Eukaryota; Fungi; Ascomycota; Sordariomycetes; Hypocreales; Clavicipitaceae. The record is from RNAcentral.